This 723-nucleotide ribosomal RNA is filed under the name uncultured bacterium. Its description in RNAcentral is "bacterial SSU rRNA". It matches the Rfam family "Bacterial small subunit ribosomal RNA", at positions 8 to 765 of the family's 1533-position model. The record is from RNAcentral.
AGAGUUUGAUCCUGGGCUCAGGAUGAACGCUGGCGGUAUGCCUAACACAUGCAAGUCGUACGAGAGUUUUUAACUCUAGUGGCGGACGGGUGAGUAACACGUGAGAAUUUGCCUUUAGGAGGGGGACAACAAUUGGAAACGAAUGCUAAUACCCCAUAUGCUUUCGAGUGAAAUGGAUUUUAUCCGCCUAGAGAGAAGCUCGCGGCUGAUUAGCUUGUUGGUAAGGUAAGAGCUUACCAAGGCGACGAUCAGUAUCUGGUUUGAGAGGACGAUCAGACACACUGGAACUGAGACACGGUCCAGACUCCUACGGGAGGCAGCAGUGGGGAAUUUUCCGCAAUGGGCGAAAGCCUGACGGAGCAAUACCGCGUGAGGGAAGAAUGCCUAUGGGUUGUAAACCUCUUUUUUCAGGGAGGAAUAAAAUGACGUGUACCUGAAGAAUAAGCAUCGGCUAACUCCGUGCCAGCAGCCGCGGUAAGACGGAGGAUGCAAGUGUUACCCGGAAUCACUGGGCGUAAAGCGUCUGUAGGUGGUUUAAUAAGUCAACUGUUAAAUCUUGAUGGCUCAACUUCAAAAUCGCAGUCGAAACUAUUAGACUAGAGUAUAGUAGAGGUAAAGGGAAUUUCCAGUGGAGCGGUGAAAUGCGUAGGAUAUUGGAAAGAACACCGAUGGCGAAAAGCACUUUACUGGGCUAUUACUAACACUCAGAGACGAAAGCUAGGG